UGCAGGAGCCUCGUGGAGUCUAUCAUCACUCUUGGCCUCGAUUUCGCAAUUUAGCUCGCAGCCCACUUCAGAACAGUCUCAACUAAAGGAACAGUAGUGCAGUGAGCAAACUCAAAGGAGGAAAUCUGGAACUUUUGGCCUGGUGUAUGCACGGAGACCAGAUGGCCGACAGGUUAAAUUUCUAGAGUGAGACUUGGUAGAAAAAACAGAGCACUUAAACAAAAUUUUUAUUGGAGUAGAAG
This is a long non-coding RNA of Camelus dromedarius (Arabian camel), 242 nucleotides long. RefSeq lists it as uncharacterized. NCBI's taxonomy places the organism in Eukaryota, Metazoa, Chordata, Mammalia, Artiodactyla, Camelidae. The record is from RefSeq and is a predicted model, not a curated record. The transcript is spliced from 3 exons.